This 834-nucleotide ribosomal RNA is filed under the name uncultured bacterium. RNAcentral describes it as "bacterial SSU rRNA". It matches the Rfam family "Bacterial small subunit ribosomal RNA", at positions 670 to 1504 of the family's 1533-position model. The record is from RNAcentral.
CAGGUGUAGCGGUGAAAUGCGUAGAUAUCUGGAAGAACACCAGUGGCGAAGGCGGCUCUCUGGACUGUAACUGACGCUGAGGCGCGAAAGCUGGGGGAGCAAACAGGAUUAGAUACCCUGGUAGUCCCAGCCGUAAACGAUGAACACUAGGUGUAGGGGGUAUCGACCCCUCCUGUGCCGCAGUUAACGCAGUAAGUGUUCCGCCUGGGGAGUACGGCCGCAAGGCUGAAACUCAAAGGAAUUGACGGGGGCCCGCACAAGCGGUGGAGCAUGUGGUUUAAUUCGAUGCAACGCGAAGAACCUUACCAGGGCUUGACAUCCCUCUGACGGGUCUAGAGAUAGGCCUUCCCUUUGGGCAGAGGAGACAGGUGGUGCAUGGCUGUCGUCAGCUCGUGUCGUGAGAUGUUGGGUUAAGUCCCGCAACGAGCGCAACCCUUGCCUUUAGUUGCCAUCAUUAAGUUGGGCACUCUAGAGGGACUGCCGGCGACAAGUCGGAGGAAGGUGAGGUUGACGUCAAGUCAUCAUGCCCCUUAUGUCCUGGGCUACACACGUGCUACAAUGGGCAGUACAGAGGGGAGCGAAGGGGUGACCUGGAGCAAAUCCCAAAAAGCUGCUCUCAGUUCGGAUUGCAGUCUGCAACUCGACUGCAUGAAGUCGGAAUCGCUAGUAAUCUCGGGUCAGCAUACCGAGGUGAAUACGUUCCCGGGCCUUGUACACACCGCCCGUCACACCACGAAAGUUUGUCACACCCGAAGUCGGUGACCCAACCUUUUAGGAGGGAGCCGCCGAAGGUGGGGCAGAUGAUUGGGGUGAAGUCGUAACAAGGUAGCCGUA